GACGAACGCUGGCGGCGUGCUUAACACAUGCCAGUCGAACGGAAAGGCCCUGCUUGCAGGGUACUCGAGUGGCGAACGGGUGAGUAACACGUGGGUGAUCUGCCCUGCACUUCGGGAUAAGCCUGGGAAACUGGGUCUAAUACCGGAUAGGAGCCAUUUUUAGUGUGAUGGUUGGAAAGUUUUUUCGGUGUAGGAUGAGCUCGCGGCCUAUCAGCUUGUUGGUGGGGUAAUGGCCUACCAAGGCGGCGACGGGUAGCCGGCCUGAGAGGGUGGACGGCCACAUUGGGACUGAGAUACGGCCCAGACUCCUACGGGAGGCAGCAGUGGGGAAUAUUGCACAAUGGGCGCAAGCCUGAUGCAGCGACGCCGCGUGGGGGAUGACGGCCUUCGGGUUGCAAACUCCUUUCGCUAGGGACGAAGCUUUUUGUGACGGUACCUAGAUAAGAAGCACCGGCUAACUACGUG
Molecule: ribosomal RNA, 465 nt
Filed under: uncultured bacterium
Lineage: Bacteria
Description: partial 16S ribosomal RNA
Rfam family: Bacterial small subunit ribosomal RNA
Source: RNAcentral